Molecule: ribosomal RNA, 254 nt
Filed under: uncultured bacterium
Lineage: Bacteria
Description: partial 16S ribosomal RNA
Rfam family: Bacterial small subunit ribosomal RNA
Source: RNAcentral
UACGGGGGGAGCAAGCGUUGUUCGGAUUUACUGGGCGUAAAGGGCGCGUAGGCGGCCAGCACAAGUCAGUUGUGAAAUCUCCGAGCUUAACUCGGAAAGGUCAACUGAUACUGUGCGGCUAGAGUGCGGAAGGGGCGACUGGAAUUCUUGGUGUAGCGGUGAAAUGCGUAGAUAUCAAGAGGAACACCUGCGGCGAAGGCGGGUUGCUGGGCCGACACUGACGCUGAUGCGCGAAAGCGAGGGGAGCGAACGGG